RNAcentral lists this ribosomal RNA (832 nucleotides) under uncultured beta proteobacterium. RNAcentral describes it as "bacterial SSU rRNA". It matches the Rfam family "Bacterial small subunit ribosomal RNA", at positions 58 to 873 of the family's 1533-position model. The record is from RNAcentral. Lineage: Bacteria; Pseudomonadati; Pseudomonadota; Betaproteobacteria.
CAAGUCGAGCGGCAGCGCGGGGCAACCUGGCGGCGAGCGGCGAACGGGUGAGUAAUGCAUCGGAACAUGUCCAUGUCGUGGGGGAUAGCCCGGCGAAAGCCGGAUUAAUACCGCAUACGCCCGAGAGGGGAAAGUGGGGGACCGCAAGGCCUCACGCGAUUGGGUUGGCCGAUGUCCGAUUAGCUAGUUGGUGGGGUAAAGGCUUACCAAGGCGAUGAUCGGUAGCUGGUCUGAGAGGAUGAUCAGCCACACUGGGACUGAGACACGGCCCAGACUCCUACGGGAGGCAGCAGUGGGGAAUUUUGGACAAUGGGGGCAACCCUGAUCCAGCCAUUCCGCGUGAGUGAAGAAGGCCUUCGGGUUGUAAAGCUCUUUUGUCCGGAACGAAACGGUGAGCGUGAAUAUCGCUCGCUACUGACGGUACCGGAAGAAUAAGCACCGGCUAACUACGUGCCAGCAGCCGCGGUAAUACGUAGGGUGCGAGCGUUAAUCGGAAUUACUGGGCGUAAAGCGUGCGCAGGCGGUUUUGUAAGCCAGAUGUGAAAUCCCCGGGCUUAACCUGGGAAUGGCAUUUGGGACUGCAAGGCUUGAGUUUGGCAGAGGAGACUGGAAUUCCUGGUGUAGCAGUGAAAUGCGUAGAUAUCAGGAGGAAUACCGAUGGCGAAGGCAGGUCUCUGGGCUAGAACUGACGCUCAUGCACGAAAGCGUGGGGAGCAAACAGGAUUAGAUACCCUGGUAGUCCACGCCCUAAACGAUGUCGACUGGUUGUUGGGGGGUUUGACACUCUCAGUAACGAAGCUAACGCGUGAAAGUCGACCGCCCUGGGGGAGUA